Molecule: ribosomal RNA, 443 nt
Filed under: uncultured bacterium
Lineage: Bacteria
Description: partial 16S ribosomal RNA
Rfam family: Bacterial small subunit ribosomal RNA
Source: RNAcentral
CCUACGGGAGGCAGCAGUGGGGAAUAUUGGGCAAUGGGCGCAAGCCUGCCCCGGCAACGCCGCGGGAGGGAGGAAGGCUUUCGGGUGGUAAACUUCUUUUGUCAGGGACGAAGCAGGUGCCGGUACCUGACGAAUAAGCCCGGGCUAACUACGUGCCAGCAGCCGCGGUACGACGUAGGUGGCAAGCGUUAUCCGGAUUUACGGGGUGUAAAGGGGGGGUGGGCGGGACUGCAAGUCAGAUGUGAAACCCAUGGGCUCAACCCAUGGCCUGCAUUUGAAACUGUAGUUCUUGAGUGAUGGAGAGGCAGGCGGAAUUCCGGGUGUAGCGGUGAAAUGCGUAGAUAUACGGAGGAACACCAGUGGCGAAGGCGGCCUGCUGGACAUUAACUGACGCUGAGGCGCGAAAGCGUGGGGAGCAAACAGGAUUAGAUACCCUUGUAGUC